GUGGGGAAUAUUGCGCAAUGGGGGAAACCCUGACGCAGCGACGCCGUGUGAGGGAAGAAGGCUUUCGGGUCGUAAACCUCUGUCAGAAAGGAAGAACCUCCCAUAUCCGAAUAGGGUGUGGGACUGACGGUACUUUCAAAGGAAGCACCGGCUAACUCCGUGCCAGCAGCCGCGGUAAUACGGAGGGUGCAAGCGUUAAUCGGAAUCACUGGGCGUAAAGCGCGCGUAGGCCGCUUUGUAAGUCGGACGUGAAAGCCCUCGGCUCAACCGGGGAACUGCGUUCGAUACUGCGAGGCUUGAGUCCUGGAGAGGGUGGCGGAAUUCCGGGUGUAGGAGUGAAAUCCGUAGAUAUCCGGAGGAACACCGGUGGCGAAGGCGGCCACCUGGACAGGUACUGACGCUGAGGCGCGAAAGCGUGGGGAGCAAACAGGAUUAGAAACCCCAGUAGUCC
This 451-nucleotide ribosomal RNA is filed under the name uncultured bacterium. RNAcentral describes it as "partial 16S ribosomal RNA". It matches the Rfam family "Bacterial small subunit ribosomal RNA", at positions 354 to 796 of the family's 1533-position model. The record is from RNAcentral.